Molecule: microRNA precursor, 116 nt
Filed under: Hordeum vulgare
Lineage: Eukaryota; Viridiplantae; Streptophyta; Magnoliopsida; Poales; Poaceae
Description: microRNA MIR1122
Rfam family: MIR1120/MIR1122 microRNA precursor family
Source: RNAcentral
CUCCGUUUCAAAAUUAUUGUCUUAAAUUUGUCUAGAUAUAAAUGUAUCUAGUCAAAUUUUAGUAUUUAGAUACAUUCAUUUUUAGACAAAACUAAGAUAAGAAUUUUGGGACGGGG